AUGGCCGAGAUGAGCGGAGCGAAGGCGGGCAGCCUCGCCUUGCGCAUCGUGGUGCUGGCGCUGUCGGUGGGCGCCGCCGUCGUGAUGGGCAGCGUCGUCUCCUACAACAGCGCUCUGGUAAAUUGUUUAUUCCCAUUAGAAAUAAUGUUCGCCGAGUAUUUCAAAAAUGUUGACCAUGUAUUAAAAAAAGUGUUCCAUGUCCAUUUAAAAACUGAGAAAUAA
Molecule: ribosomal RNA, 222 nt
Filed under: Triticum aestivum (bread wheat)
Lineage: Eukaryota; Viridiplantae; Streptophyta; Magnoliopsida; Poales; Poaceae
Description: partial small subunit ribosomal RNA
Source: RNAcentral